GUAACAAGGGUUCCGUAGGUGAACCUGCGGAAGGAUCAUUGUCGAAACCUGCCCAGCGGCACGACCCGCGAACAAGUUUCUCAGCACACGCUGGGGCGGCGGGGAGCACCCGCCCCUCGCCUCCCGGCGAGCAGUGGGGAGCGGCCGCACGGUCCCUCUCCUCGGCUCACGAACAAAACCCCGGCGCCGGACGCGCCAAGGACCAUGCAAACUAAGGGCACGCCCCAUCGCCCCGGGAACGGGGCGCGGGGCGCGGCUUCUUUCGCUACGAGCGAAAA
Molecule: ribosomal RNA, 278 nt
Filed under: Laetia suaveolens
Lineage: Eukaryota; Viridiplantae; Streptophyta; Magnoliopsida; Malpighiales; Salicaceae
Source: RNAcentral